GAAUUUGUGAAGACAUGCUACGGAAAUU
Molecule: small RNA, 28 nt
Filed under: Bombyx mori (domestic silkworm)
Lineage: Eukaryota; Metazoa; Arthropoda; Insecta; Lepidoptera; Bombycidae
Description: ovarian small RNA-15320
Source: RNAcentral